UUUUCUUUUCUUUCCUUGUAUUUUUAUUACCUUUUUUUCUGUCUUAUCUUAACAGGGCCACUCUGCCUCCAUUUGCUUUUAUAGACAUGACUUCAAGGCAUGACCUCAGCGGUAGCACUUGUCAGUUGGGAGCUCAGAUGGCCUCGGGCUGGAAGCAGGCUCUGCCUUGCUCCUGCUUCCCCUCCUUGCCCCAGCUCUGAUCUGCCCAGUGCUUUGUAUCAUAGCCUCGAUGUCGAGGGAUACUUUGUGCUGCUGAUUGUCUCACUUCUACAAGGAAAGAAUCAGGGCAUUUGGCACCCGAUAGCGAGACCUCCUUUCACUAUUUACUCAUGUACAGGAGGGGUGGGAAUGAAAUGAGGAUAAGAGAUGCUGACACCGUGUUUCAUCCUGCACAGGCAGCACUGCUGCUGGUGGAGUUGAUUGCAAUCCACUGGGAAAGACUUGGUAGCUCCAGGUAAGCAACUGCUGUCAUUUUCCUCUUUGAUUUUAGCAUUGCUGAAGUCAGGGGAAGAAACAUUUGGAUGCUAUUGAGAGGGUCAAUACAUUGUUAAAUGUCAGCGUUGGUUGGAACAACCAAGCCUUUUGGGUAUGCCCACCUUUGGUGUCAUAGCUGCUGUCCCUUCCCUACAGUGGGGUGUUGCUGCCUGUAGUGAUACAACAACAGAAGGAAAUGCUUGAAAAGUGACUCAAAAAAGGGAGGGUUACAUGAACCUAGCAGGCAGCUCUCAUUUUACACAGUUUGCCUCUGCCCACUGGGCCAGGGAUUUGUAGCUGAAAUGCCAUCUGUACUUUGUAGGCUCUUAUCUCUCUGGUGUGCUGAGAUAGCACCUGAUUACCAUAGUAUCAGAGCAUCUAGCUCUCUGUGAUGUAUUCAUCCUCAUAGCAAGCCUGGGGAUAGAAACCAGGAGACAACCUAAUUACUUCUUGCACUCUGCACAUAAAUUAUUGCUCCCAAACAUUUAAAGGAGACAGGAAGGGAUGCUGGGAAAGGUGCUAAAGGAACCGUUCUUCAUCCACAGCAGGCUUGUGCAUGAUCAGAAAUUGAAGGACUGGUGCUGUAAUGGCACCAGUGAUUGUCAGGAGGCCUCUCAGUGCAUCCCAGCUUGUUGAGGUCACUCCUGCAAGAUGGGGUGGCAAUAGGAUGACUGGGAUUAAAUUCACUUUGGAAUGGAAAGAUCUUGACUCAAGAGGAUCUGAAGUGUAGAGGGGUUGGCUGGCCUUAGGGUUCCUUGAGAUGGACCCGACCUCCAGCUUUUCACUUAACAUAUUGCCCCCACUGAACACACAUACACAAAGAUCCUCUUCUGCAUUAAACUGAAUGAUCACAUCCAGCUACCUGAAAAGCUGCCUUGCAAAAAAUCCCUUGGCGAGCAUAAAAUGAAACCAGAGGACCCCUUCUCGUCUUCAUUCUUAGAGGAAGAGAUUCAGAAACAACAUGAUUUAUGGGAAUUCCUUAGAAGAAGAUGAGAGUUUGUGCUUCAUCUUCCUUAAAUAGCCCUCUGUGAGGCUUACAAAAGCUUUUCCCACAUGCUGAGCUUUCAGAGCCAUGGGACAGGUUCCCCCCCAAGGCACUGAUCUUGCACAGCUCAGUAAAAUGCAGGGGGUGGCUAAAUCUGAGCUCCAAAUCGCAUCACUGACACGGAUGAACCGCAUCCGAAACAGCGUGUCCAGCACCGACCCACCACAUCUGUCACACUGACCUUCACCCACCAGGUCACUUGUCAGCAGCUCCACAUUCCCGGCUGGAGGAUGGAAAUGAGCCUGUUUGAGCUGACGGGAGCUCAGCAGAAACUCAUCAGCAGAGGAGCAAAGUUUACAGCUCAGAUGAAAGGCUUCAAAACUUGUCUCGGGGAGGUUGGGGGCCCUUUGUGACCUGUUGAUGGAAUUCCAUCACCUUGUAACUGUGACAGGUUAUAAUCAACCUGCCCGAUUUGAAUCUUGUCCAUAGCUAGGAGUUUUAAUUUGAUAUUCACCAUUUGCUCCAUCUGCAUCAUGAAUGUGCCCUGCUAAAAGGAAAGCCUCCCUGACCUGCUUCCUCCAGGCAACGGGCUAACAUCCUCAUGCAGCCAGCCAGCGAUUGAGGUGUUUCAAUGCUGGUACCCAAGAGACGGAUGUUAAGGGCAAGUGGUUCAUCAGAAAGGGUUUUU
This is a long non-coding RNA of Pezoporus occidentalis (night parrot), 2147 nucleotides long. RefSeq lists it as uncharacterized. The record is from RefSeq and is a predicted model, not a curated record. The transcript has 3 exons. NCBI's taxonomy places the organism in Eukaryota, Metazoa, Chordata, Aves, Psittaciformes, Psittacidae.